CAGCUCGUGUCGUGAGAUGUUGGGUUAAGUACCCGCAACGAGCGCAACCCUUGUCAUUAGUUGCUACAUUCAGUUGGGCACCCUAAUGAGACUGCCGGUGGACAAACCGGAGGAAGGUGGGGAUGACGUCAAGUCCUCAUGGCCCUUAUAGGUGGGGCUACACACGUCAUACAAUGGAUGGUACAAAGGGUCGCCAACCCGCGAGGGGGAGCCAAUCCCAUAAAGCCAUUCGUAGUCCGGAUCGCAGUCUGCAACUCGACUGCGUGAAGUCGGAAUCGCUAGUAAUCGUGGAUCAGAAUGUCACGGUGAAUACGUUCCCGGGUCUU
This 326-nucleotide ribosomal RNA is filed under the name uncultured Polaromonas sp. RNAcentral's name for it is "bacterial SSU rRNA". It matches the Rfam family "Bacterial small subunit ribosomal RNA", at positions 1056 to 1382 of the family's 1533-position model. Lineage: Bacteria; Pseudomonadati; Pseudomonadota; Betaproteobacteria; Burkholderiales; Comamonadaceae. The record is from RNAcentral.